AGGGCGCACGGUGGAUGCCUUGGCACUAGGAGCCGAAGAAGGACGUGACAAACGACGAAAUGCCUCGGGGAGCUGUAAGUAAGCGACGAUCCGUGGAUGUCCGAAUGGGGGAACCCAACAGGUUGAUGCCUGUUACCCAUUUCUGUUAAGGAAAUGAGGAGGAAGACGCAGUGAACUGAAACAUCUAAGUAGCUGCAGGAAGAGAAAGCAAAAGCGAUUGCCUUAGUAGCGGCGAGCGAAGAGGCAGGAGGGCAAACCGAAGAGUUUACUCUUCGGGGUUGUAGGACUGCAAUGUGGACUCAGAAUUUAUAGAAGAAUGGCUUGGGAAAGUCAGCCAAAGAGAGUAAGAGCCUCGUAUUUUAAAUAGAUUCUGUACCUAGCAGUAUCCUGAGUACGGCGGGACACGAGAAAUCCCGUCGGAAUCUGGGAGGACCAUCUCCCAACCCUAAAUACUCCCUAGUGACCGAUAGUGAACCAGUACCGUGAGGGAAAGGUGAAAAGCACCCCGGAAGGGGAGUGAAAUAGAUCCUGAAACCGUGUGCCUACAACAAGUCAAAGCUCGUUAAUGAGUGAUGGCGUGCCUUUUGUAGAAUGAACCGGCGAGUUACGAUUGCAUGCGAGGUUAAGUCGAAGAGACGGAGCCGCAGCGAAAGCGAGUCUGAAUAGGGCGAAUGAGUAUGUAGUCGUAGACCCGAAACCAUGUGAUCUACCCAUGUCCAGGUUGAAGGUGCGGUAAAACGCACUGGAGGACCGAACCCACGUACGUUGAAAAGUGCGGGGAUGAGGUGUGGGUAGCGGAGAAAUUCCAAACGAACUUGGAGAUAGCUGGUUCUCUCCGAAAUAGCUUUAGGGCUAGCCUCGGAAUUGAGAAUGAUGGAGGUAGAGCACUGUUUGGACUAGGGGCCCAUCUCGGGUUACCGAAUUCAGAUAAACUCCGAAUGCCAUUCAUUUAUAUCCGGGAGUCAGACUGCGAGUGAUAAGAUCCGUAGUCGAAAGGGAAACAGCCCAGACCACCAGCUAAGGUCCCAAAAUAUAUGUUAAGUGGAAAAGGAUGUGGGGUUGCACAGACAACUAGGAUGUUGGCUUAGAAGCAGCCACCAUUUAAAGAGUGCGUAAUAGCUCACUAGUCGAGUGACCCUGCGCCGAAAAUGUACCGGGGCUAAAACAAUUUACCGAAGCUGUGGAUCCCUUAGGGGAUGGUAGGAGAGCGUUCUAUGUGUGGAGAAGGUGUACCGUGAGGAGCGCUGGAACGCAUAGAAGUGAGAAUGCCGGUAUGAGUAGCGAAAGACAGGUGAGAAUCCUGUCCACCGUAAGACUAAGGUUUCCAGGGGAAGGCUCGUCCGCCCUGGGUUAGUCGGGACCUAAGGAGAGACCGAAGGGUGUAUCCGAUGGCCAACAGGUUGAUAUUCCUGUACUAGAGUAUGAAGUGAUGGAGGGACGCAGUAGGCUAACUAAAGCAGACGAUUGGAAGAGUCUGUCUAAGCAGUGAGGCGUGGUAUGAGUCAAAUGCUUAUACCUAUAACGUUGAGCUGUGAUGGGGAGCGAAGUUUAGUAGCGAAGUUAGUGAUGUCACACUGCCAAGAAAAGCUUCUAGCGAUGUAUCAUACUCUACCCGUACCGCAAACCGACACAGGUAGUCGAGGCGAGUAGCCUCAGGUGAGCGAGAGAACUCUCGUUAAGGAACUCGGCAAAAUGACCCCGUAACUUCGGGAGAAGGGGUGCUGAUUUAGGUCAGCCGCAGUGAAUAGGCCCAAGCAACUGUUUAUCAAAAACACAGCUCUCUGCUAAAUCGUAAGAUGAUGUAUAGGGGGUGACGCCUGCCCGGUGCUGGAAGGUUAAGAGGAGUGCUUAGCGGUAACGCGAAGGUAUGAAUUGAAGCCCCAGUAAACGGCGGCCGUAACUAUAACGGUCCUAAGGUAGCGAAAUUCCUUGUCGGGUAAGUUCCGACCCGCACGAAAGGCGUAAUGAUUUGGGCACUGUCUCAACGAGAGACUCGGUGAAAUUUUAGUACCUGUGAAGAUGCAGGUUACCCGCGACAGGACGGAAAGACCCCAUGGAGCUUUACUGCAGUUUGAUAUUGAGUGUCUGUGCCACAUGUACAGGAUAGGUAGGAGCCUAUGAGAUCGGGACGCCAGUUUCGAUGGAGGCGCUGUUGGGAUACUACCCUUGUGUUAUGGCCACUCUAACCCGGAUAGGUGAUCCCUAUCGGAGACAGUGUCUGACGGGCAGUUUGACUGGGGCGGUCGCCUCCUAAAAGGUAACGGAGGCGCCCAAAGGU
RNAcentral lists this ribosomal RNA (2278 nucleotides) under human gut metagenome. Its description in RNAcentral is "bacterial LSU rRNA". It matches the Rfam family "Bacterial large subunit ribosomal RNA", at positions 14 to 2317 of the family's 2925-position model. The record is from RNAcentral.